Molecule: ribosomal RNA, 305 nt
Filed under: uncultured bacterium
Lineage: Bacteria
Description: bacterial SSU rRNA
Rfam family: Bacterial small subunit ribosomal RNA
Source: RNAcentral
ACCCUACGGGACGCAGCAGUGGGGAAUAUUGCACAAUGGGGGAAACCCUGAUGCAGCGACGCCGCGUGAGCGAUGAAGUAUUUCGGUAUGUAAAGCUCUAUCAGCAGGGAAGAAGAUGACGGUACCUGACUAAGAAGCCCCGGCUAACUACGUGCCAGCAGCCGCGGUAAUACGUAGGGGGCAAGCGUUAUCCGGAUUUACUGGGUGUAAAGGGUGCGUAGGCGGCCUGCUAAGUCUGGAGUGAAAGGUACCGGCUCAACCGGUACAGGCCCUGGAAACUGGCGGGCUAGGGAGCAGGAGGGGGG